AGGUUGGCUCCUGGGUGUCCUGGUUCCUAAGCCCCCAAACGGACCCAGAGUCUCAGAGCAUGACGUCGACCCUGUUUGCCCUCCGGGGAAGGCUGGCCCCAAGUAGACAUGAUAAAGACACUGUUCAAGCCAUAUUUGGAAACUCUUCAAUUUGGGAGAGACCUUCGGAGAACCAUAGAUUAUGUGUAAUACCUUAGGCAUCUCAGAAUAUUGCUGGGCCAAGCACCACGUUUUCAAAUCUUCCAGAACUAAAAGAUGCUGCAAGCCAGGCAUGGUGGCACACAUCUGCAGUCUCAGUACUUGGGAAGUGGAAGCAUGAAGAUCAGUUCAAGACAAGCCUCAACACAUAGUACAUUUGAGUUCAGCCUAAGGUACUUGUCCAAAAAACCCCUCAAAGGUAAAAAAUAAAAACAAU
Molecule: long non-coding RNA, 415 nt
Organism: Phodopus roborovskii (desert hamster)
Lineage: Eukaryota; Metazoa; Chordata; Mammalia; Rodentia; Cricetidae
Exons: 4
Source: RefSeq, a predicted model, not a curated record